Eriocheir sinensis (Chinese mitten crab) is the source of this 1742-nucleotide long non-coding RNA. RefSeq lists it as uncharacterized. Lineage: Eukaryota; Metazoa; Arthropoda; Malacostraca; Decapoda; Varunidae. The record is from RefSeq and is a predicted model, not a curated record. The transcript has 5 exons.
GGCAGUUGCUGCAGCGGAACAAUGGGAGGAUCACAGGCUACGCGAUAUUCCUCACCACGGACCAAACUGUCAGUGACUGGGUGACGGGGGAAGUGACGGGGGACUGGCUCACCCUUACCGUCCAUGGACUGACGCCUUCAAGGAAGUAUUUGCACAAGAUGCACUCUCACAAUGUCAAAGGUUUUGGUCCAUUCUCCUCCGUGGAAAGCUUCACGACUUCCAGCUGUUGACAAGAGCAUCGGUGAGCCCCCUGGCUGGUGUGUGGAGCGAGAGGCCUGAUUGUGCUGGUGAUCGCUGGCGUGGCAGGAGCCAUGACCAGCUGGGGGCCUUCUUGGCCACCACACUGUACUGCCGCGGGUCAAGGCGGAGCCCAGGCCAAGCAUUGUUGUUGGCGGCAGCUGCAGUGAGAGCAACAAGCCUGGCGUCCAGCCUCCAGACCUGUGGAUCCAUCACGGCCACUUGGAGCUGAAGAACUUUGACAAGGGUGAGCGCAGCAACUCCCCCAACCACGCCUCCAUCAUCCAGCACACAGGAGUCGCGUCACAUCACAAUGGGACCAAAAAAGGACGAGAAGGGACAAGACAAGAAGAAAAGGUCUUCUGCUGCCGCUGGUGCCUCUCCAGAUGAUGAUGAGCAACAAGAAGACACUCAAGAACAACCUGCCAAGAAAGUGAAGGGACGAUCCAAGAAGAGGUCAUCGUCUGCUACCGGGGAGACACCCCCUCCUCCAGCCCUCUUGCGUCACCAAUCCACUUGGACACAGAGCCCCAACCUGGUCGUGAUGAUGCUGGGGUGUCUUUUGCUCAAAAUCGGGAGCAAAUUCUUGGAGGAGAUUUGAAACUCGUAGUAGAUCCGGAGUUAUCGGUGUAGUUCGUCGUACAUUGUAGUACUUCGUACUUACAAAUCAGGACAGUUGGUGGUUCGUGAUACUUCGUAGUACUUCUGCUCCAAAACUCGCCGUACUUCGGGAGAAAAUCAGGGUGAAAUCAUAGUACAUCGUAGCAUAUUGUAGUACGUCGUAGCACUUCGGGAAAUAAUUCGGUGUACUUCGGGGAAUAUGCCCUCGAGGUCGACCGAACGCCUCGAGAUGAAAAGAUAAACAAAUUUUCGUAGUGAUUCGGGGAAAACGCUGUAUCCCGAGGUACUACGAUUUUUUUGUGAUUCGGCGUCUGUGAGACCGGGGGGUAAGUGUGUUCUCUCAAAGUUUCCGAUAGUUUGGUCGCUGCUCUCUGUAUUCUUUCCAACUUUCUAAUUUCUUUCUUCAAUGUAGGUGACCACACUAACGCUGCAUAUUCCAGUCUUGGACGUAUCACCGAUGUUAUUAGUUUCUCCACCGUCUCUUCGUCUAGAUAUGUAAAUACUGCUUUUAUGUUUCUAAGAAGAUUGUAUGUUUCCCCAGUUAUCCAAUUUAUAUGCUUCCCAAAGGAUAACUUGUCUGUUAUUGUCACUCCCAGAUCCUUAUUCUUCUGUUUUUUUCAUGAUUCUUUCAUUACUCAGAGAGUAGUUCCCCAAUAUCCGUCUACUGCUCUUACCAAACUCCAUCACACUACAGUUCUCUGUAUUGAAUGUCAUUUCCCAUUUGCGUGACCAUUCGCUUAUUCUAUCGAAAUCCUGACUCAAGGCUACACAGUCUUCUUCAUUAGCCACCCUCCUCAUUAGUUUAGCAUCAUCAGCAAACAUAUUCAUAUAGCUUGUCACCCCUUCUGUCAUGUCAAUUAUAUAUAUUGCAAACAUAAUCGGAG